This 268-nucleotide long non-coding RNA is filed under the name Lathyrus oleraceus (garden pea). RNAcentral's name for it is "Pisum sativum (pea) long non-coding RNA (PSAT_LNC024075)". Lineage: Eukaryota; Viridiplantae; Streptophyta; Magnoliopsida; Fabales; Fabaceae. The record is from RNAcentral.
CUCCACUAAUACCCCUCAUCUCCACCAUAGAGAAAUCAUCGCCGGAACAUCAUCCUAAUCCCCCAACCGAAGACACUCAUUGAUGUCUCGCUUCCACAGUAACAACACCUAAAAAGCUCGUGCUUCCGCAACUCUCCGCCGUCACUCAUACACCACCAAUCCGAUGUUAACAACGAAACUGUUUUUAAUCUUGCCUUUACAUUACUGGAUUGUUGUCGUUUGAUUUUGUUACCAGAUUGUUGUUGCUUGAUUUUUGCAGCUCAUUACC